ACGAACGCUGGCGGCGUGCUUAACACAUGCAAGUCGAACGGAAAGGCCCUGCUUUUGUGGGGUGCUCGAGUGGCGAACGGGUGAGUAACACGUGAGUAACCUGCCCUUGACUUUGGGGUAACUUCAGGAAACUGGGGCUAAUACCGGAUAGGAGCUCCUGCUGCAUGGUGGGGGUUGGAAAGUUUCGGCGGUUGGGGAUGGACUCGCGGCUUAUCAGCUUGUUGGUGGGGUAGUGGCUUACCAAGGCUUUGACGGGUAGCCGGCCUGAGAGGGUGACCGGCCACAUUGGGACUGAGAUACGGCCCAGACUCCUACGGGAGGCAGCAGUGGGGAAUAUUGCACAAUGGGCGGAAGCCUGAUGCAGCAACGCCGCGUGCGGGAUGAUGGCCUUCGGGUUGUAAACCGCUUUCGCCUGUGACGAAGCGUGAGUGACGGUAAUGGGUAAAGAAGCACCGGCUAACUACGUG
Molecule: ribosomal RNA, 467 nt
Filed under: uncultured bacterium
Lineage: Bacteria
Description: partial 16S ribosomal RNA
Rfam family: Bacterial small subunit ribosomal RNA
Source: RNAcentral